Molecule: long non-coding RNA, 2292 nt
Organism: Salvelinus namaycush (lake trout)
Lineage: Eukaryota; Metazoa; Chordata; Actinopteri; Salmoniformes; Salmonidae
Exons: 2
Source: RefSeq, a predicted model, not a curated record
CCUACAUAACAACACAUAUAUACACACACACAAAAGCCUACAUAACAACACAUAUAUACACACACAUACACACACACAAACCAGUGUCCUGAAGUUCAGGCUCAAGUGGUGAUAGUGUUUAAUGUCUCCAAGCCACGAGAACUGCCCUGAAAACUAUCUGGGUCACCUUCAACCACUCCAACCGAAUGCAUUAGCAUUAGGCUAAUUCCCCCACUGAGAGCCAAUGAAGAGGCUAACCGAUAAUCAGACGCGACAGAUAGCCUAGCGGUUAAGAGCCUUGGGUGAGUAACCGAAAGGUCGCUGGUUCGAAUCCCCGUGGCGACUAGGUGAAAAAAAUCUGACAAUGUGCCCUUGAGCAAGGCACAACUCUAAUUGCUCCUGUAAGUCGCUCUGGAUAAGAGAUAAUAAUGCUAAAUGACUAAAAUGUAAAUAUAAUCGGAUAACCUGGUCCUUUGAUACUCAACUGCUGCUAGCUGUGUCUCUGUGUAGAGGUGUGUUAGUGGAGCAGCCUGUCUCUGUGUAGAGGUGUGUUAGUGGAGCAGCCUGUCUCUGUGUAGAGGUGUGUUAGUGGAGCAGCCUGUCUCUGUGUAGAGGUGUGUUAGUGGAGCAGCCUGUCUCUGUGUAGAGGUAUGUUAGUGGAGCAGCCUGUCUCUGUGUAGAGGUGUGUUAGUGGAGCAGCCUGUCUCUGUGUAGAGGUGUGUUAGUGGAGCAGCCUGUCUCUGUGUAGAGGUGUGUUAGUGGAGCAGCCUGUCUCUGUGUAGAUGUGUGUUAGUGGAGCAGCCUGUCUCUGUGUAGAGGUAUGUUAGUGGAGCAGCCUGUCUCUGUGUAGAGGUGUGUUAGUGGAGCAGCCUGUCUCUGUGUAGAGGUGUGUUAGUGGAGCAGCCUGUCUCUGUGUAGAGGUAUGUUAAGUGUUAAGUGCUCUGUACUUUAGCCAAGUGUGGAAUAAUUGUUGGUUAUUCUGUCCAUGUUGUUGUGUUGUCACAUUGGGUAGACUGUGGAACCAUGUGGAUUUUUUCUACCCAUUAUAUUUCCAUGGUCCCCCCCACCCGCCUCUGUUUUCACAGUAACUGCAUACUACAUUUAUAAACACUACAUUGUAGAAUAUGAAGCAUGUUAGCUUUCAUGUUAAUCAAGUAACAGAAUUGAGUAGGAUAUCACUGUGGCAAAGACAUUCAGAAUUUACCAUUCACACUACUUCUAACCAUCAUAAUAAGUUUAUGCUGCCAUCCUAGUAAAUUUCAGUAACCCUUCUGCCAGUUUGUGAAAGAAGUCUAUUGUGUAAUGUAAAUAUUGGUAUAUAUUGCCGUUUUUUCUGUAAAUAGUGCACCCACUGUCCUCAAUUGUUGAUAUGAAUCUAAUGGCAUAUUUUUAUAUACUUGUGUGUGUUUUUUCUCCUCUGGCAUGCGCUGUCAGUCACGUUUAAAUUAUAACUGCCACAAAAUGACAACAAGAGAAAGGAAACGGCGUCUAUGGUUAUACUUCAGUUGUCAUGGUUACGUUUUCUUCCUGUAGCUGUUUCUGUUUCGUCACUUCGGGUUCUUCUUUGGAAUUAAAUAAUUUCACUGGUGCCAGACUACCAGGUGUCUGUAGCAGUUCUUACCGCCGCUGGGAGUUGGGAUGUAUCCUGUCUGUCUGUGUCUGUCUGUCUCUGUCUGUCUGUCUGUCUGUCUGUCUGCACACCCUGUAGUUUUCCAGAGCCAGGAGUGAAGAAUACUGAUUCAUGGACUUGGCCAGGAACAACUCUGGACCCUAUCUAUGGGAUCUAACUUCUAACUCAAGAUCUCAGGCAAGACUGCAUCAGUACAGCAGUUAUUGUAGGAGAGGUGAGGACUUGCACUCUCAUAAUGAGGUAGCCCUGCCUGCGGCCUAAAACUCUGUGUCACCCUCUGAGCAAGAGGGAAUUCCCAAAGGUUCAGAUCCCACCCGUGACCCUAACAGCACCACAGUGACUAAGUUCUCUGUACCAACACAAUGUAUAGUACUGGAAGAUCCCUGGAUGAACCAUUAUCUCACACACACGCGCACACACACACACAGCAAAGUGAAAUGCUCUGAUAAAUGACCUGCAUUUGUGUGUUAGUACGAGGGGGCUGGGAAUGAACGUCUACGCUCACACACUCAAUGAAUGAAGACACACGACUGAUUGAGAUGUGUUGCACAAUAGACCUCCUGUCUGCCAGAAGAAUGGGAUUUUGAUAGUGUGUCAGACUCACAGUCAGACCAGUGGAACAUUUCAGUGUUAGGUUUUCACAAUUAUCUACUGUAAAUAGAAUAAAGUUAGCUUUAUCAGAA